Molecule: ribosomal RNA, 396 nt
Filed under: uncultured bacterium
Lineage: Bacteria
Description: partial 16S ribosomal RNA
Rfam family: Bacterial small subunit ribosomal RNA
Source: RNAcentral
AUACGUAGGGGGCGAGCGUUGUCCGGAAUGAUUGGGCGUAAAGGGCGCGUAGGCGGCCCGGUAAGUCUGGAGUGAAAGUCCUGUUUUUAAGAUGGGAAUUGCUUUGGAUACUGUCGGGCUUGAGUGCAGGAGAGGUAAGUGGAAUUCCCAGUGUAGCGGUGAAAUGCGUAGAGAUUGGGAGGAACACCAGUGGCGAAGGCGACUUACUGGACUGUAACUGACGCUGAGGCGCGAAAGUGUGGGGAGCAAACAGGAUUAGAUACCCUGGUAGUCCACGCUGUAAACGACGAAUACUAGGUGUGGGGGGACUGACCCCCUCCGUGCCGCAGUUAACACAAUAAGUAUUCCACCUGGGGAGUACGAUCGCAAGAUUGAAACUCAAAGGAAUUGGCGGGG